GGUUCUAUAGUGUAGCGGUUAUCACUCCGGAUUCUGAAAACAAUCUCUCGUGCUCCAUCAUACAAAGUACGUAAGAGAAAUUCUUCCGGCAACCCCGGUUCGAGUCCGGGUAGGACCU
Transfer RNA from Podospora anserina, 118 nucleotides. It matches the Rfam family "tRNA". From Rfam's summary of the family: Transfer RNA (tRNA) molecules are approximately 80 nucleotides in length. Their secondary structure includes four short double-helical elements and three loops (D, anti-codon, and T loops). Further hydrogen bonds mediate the characteristic L-shaped molecular structure. tRNAs have two regions of fundamental functional importance: the anti-codon, which is responsible for specific mRNA codon recognition, and the 3' end, to which the tRNAs corresponding amino acid is attached (by aminoacyl-tRNA synthetases). tRNAs cope with the degeneracy of the genetic code in two manners: having more than one tRNA (with a specific anti-codon) for a particular amino acid; and 'wobble' base-pairing, i.e. permitting non-standard base-pairing at the 3rd anti-codon position. The record is from Rfam. NCBI's taxonomy places the organism in Eukaryota, Fungi, Ascomycota, Sordariomycetes, Sordariales, Podosporaceae.